CGCGUAGGCGGACAGUUUAGUCGGGGGUGAAAGCCCGGGGCUCAACCUCGGAAUUGCCUUCGAUACUGGCUGUCUUGAGUACGGGAGAGGUGUGUGGAACUCCGAGUGUAGAGGUGAAAUUCGUAGAUAUUCGGAAGAACACCAGUGGCGAAGGCGACACACUGGCCCGUUACUGACGCUGAUGCGCGAAAGCGUGGGGAGCAAACAGGAUUAGAUACCCUGGUAGUCCACGCUGUAAACGAUGAGUGCUAGUUGUCGGCAUGCAUGCAUGUCGGUGACGCAGCUAACGCAUUAAGCACUCCGCCUGGGGAGUACGGUCGCAAGAUUAAA
This 330-nucleotide ribosomal RNA is filed under the name uncultured bacterium. Its description in RNAcentral is "bacterial SSU rRNA". It matches the Rfam family "Bacterial small subunit ribosomal RNA", at positions 568 to 898 of the family's 1533-position model. The record is from RNAcentral.